AUUGAACGCUGGCGGCAGGCCUAACACAUGCAAGUCGAACGGAUGAAGGCAGCUUGUUCCUGGAUUCAGCGGCGGACGGGUGAGUAAUGCCUGGGAGUCUGCUUGGCUGUGGUUGAUAACAUCCUGAAACGAGCGCUAAUAAUGCAGGCUACGUGAGGGUGAAAGUGGGGGAUGUUCGGAACGCACGCUCUCAGGGGAGCCUAGGCCGGAUUAGCUAGUUGGUGGGUUAAAGGCCUACUAAGGCGAGGAUCCGUAUCUGGUCGGAGAGGCUGAUCGGUCACACUGGAAGUGAGACACGGUCCAUACUACUACGGGACGGAGCAGUGUGGUAUAGGAGACAACGGUCGAAAGUAUUAUCCAGCCAUGGGGAGUGUGUGAAGAAGGUCUUCGGAUUGUAAAGCACGCUAAGUUGGGAUGAAGCGCAGUAAGUUAAUACCUUGCUGUUUCGACGGUACCAACAGAAUAAGCACCGGCUAACUUCGUG
Molecule: ribosomal RNA, 484 nt
Filed under: uncultured bacterium
Lineage: Bacteria
Description: partial 16S ribosomal RNA
Rfam family: Bacterial small subunit ribosomal RNA
Source: RNAcentral